RNAcentral lists this ribosomal RNA (406 nucleotides) under Escherichia coli. Its description in RNAcentral is "partial 23S ribosomal RNA". It matches the Rfam family "Bacterial large subunit ribosomal RNA", at positions 473 to 879 of the family's 2925-position model. The record is from RNAcentral. Lineage: Bacteria; Pseudomonadati; Pseudomonadota; Gammaproteobacteria; Enterobacterales; Enterobacteriaceae.
CUCCUGACUGACCGAUAGUGAACCAGUACCGUGAGGGAAAGGCGAAAAGAACCCCGGCGAGGGGAGUGAAAAAGAACCUGAAACCGUGUACGUACAAGCAGUGGGAGCACAGGUUUACCUGUGUGACUGCGUACCUUUUGUAUAAUGGGUCAGCGACUUAUAUUCUGUAGCAAGGUUAACCGUAUAGGGGAGCCGGAGGGAAACCGAGUCUUAACCGGGCGUUAAGUUGCAGGGUAUAGACCCGAAACCCGGUGAUCUAGCCAUGGGCAGGUUGAAGGUUGGGUAACACUAACUGGAGGACCGAACCGACUAAUGUUGAAAAAUUAGCGGAUGACCUGUGGCUGGGGGUGAAAGGCCAAUCAAACCGGGAGAUAGCUGGUUCUCCCCGAAAGCUAUUUAGGUAGCG